This 409-nucleotide ribosomal RNA is filed under the name bacterium. RNAcentral describes it as "partial 16S ribosomal RNA". It matches the Rfam family "Bacterial small subunit ribosomal RNA", at positions 355 to 776 of the family's 1533-position model. The record is from RNAcentral.
UGGGGAAUAUUGCACAAUGGGCGAAAGCCUGAUGCAGCGACGCCGCGUGAGGGAUGACGGCCUUCGGCUUGUAAACCUCUUUCAGCAGGGACGAAGCGCAAGUGACGGUACCUGCAGAAGAAGCACCGGCUAACUACGUGCCAGCAGCCGCGGUAAUACGUAGGGUGCAAGCGUUGUCCGGAAUUACUGGGCGUAAAGAGUUCGUAGGCGGUUUGUCGCGUCGUUUGUGAAAACCAGCAGCUCAACUGCUGGCUUGCAGGCGAUACGGGCAGACUUUAGUACUGCAGGGGAGACUGGAAUUCCUGGUGUAGCGGUGAAAUGCGCAGAUAUCAGGAGGAACACCGGUGGCGAAGGCGGGUCUCUGGGCAGUAACUGACGCUGAGGAACGAAAGCGUGGGUAGCGAACAGG